Apaloderma vittatum (bar-tailed trogon) is the source of this 74-nucleotide non-coding RNA. The record is from Rfam. Lineage: Eukaryota; Metazoa; Chordata; Aves; Trogoniformes; Trogonidae.
GGCCAGUUAGCUCAGUCGGUUAGAGUGUGGUACUGAUAACACCAAGGUCACGGGUUCUAUCCCUGUUCGGUCCC